GAGGGUAUAGCUCAAGUGGUAGAGUGCAUGCUUAGCAUGCAUGAGGUCCUGGGUUCAAUCCCCACUACCUCCU
RNAcentral lists this transfer RNA (73 nucleotides) under Camelus bactrianus (Bactrian camel). It matches the Rfam family "tRNA". From Rfam's summary of the family: Transfer RNA (tRNA) molecules are approximately 80 nucleotides in length. Their secondary structure includes four short double-helical elements and three loops (D, anti-codon, and T loops). Further hydrogen bonds mediate the characteristic L-shaped molecular structure. tRNAs have two regions of fundamental functional importance: the anti-codon, which is responsible for specific mRNA codon recognition, and the 3' end, to which the tRNAs corresponding amino acid is attached (by aminoacyl-tRNA synthetases). tRNAs cope with the degeneracy of the genetic code in two manners: having more than one tRNA (with a specific anti-codon) for a particular amino acid; and 'wobble' base-pairing, i.e. permitting non-standard base-pairing at the 3rd anti-codon position. Lineage: Eukaryota; Metazoa; Chordata; Mammalia; Artiodactyla; Camelidae. RNAcentral also lists the same sequence under 2 other names. The record is from Rfam by way of RNAcentral.